ACGGGGCGCAGCAGGCGCGAAACCUUUACACUGCACGACAGUGCGAUAAGGGGACUCCAAGUGCGAGGGCAUAUAGUCCUCGCUUUUCUCCACCGUAAGGUGGUGCAAGAAUAAGUGCUGGGCAAGACCGGUGCCAGCCGCCGCGGUAAUACCGGCAGCACGAGUGAUGACCGCUAUUAUUGGGCCUAAAGCGUCCGUAGCUGGCCACGCAAGUCCAUCGGGAAAUCCGCUCGCUCAACGCGCGGGCGUCCGGUGGAAACCGCGUGGCUUGGGACCGGAAGAUCCAGAGGGUACGUCCGGGGUAGGAGUGAAAUCCCGUAAUCCUGGACGGACCACCGGUGGCGAAAGCGCUUCGGAAAGACGGAUCCGACGGUGAGGGACGAAAGCUAGGGUCACGAACCGGAUUAGAUACCCGGGUAGUCCGAGCUGUAAACGAUGUUUGCUAGGUGUGGCACAGGCUACGAGCCUGUGCUGUGCCGUAGGGAAGCCGUGAAGCAGACCGCCUGGGAAGU
Molecule: ribosomal RNA, 512 nt
Filed under: uncultured haloarchaeon
Lineage: Archaea; Methanobacteriati; Methanobacteriota; Halobacteria; Halobacteriales; Halobacteriaceae
Description: bacterial SSU rRNA
Rfam family: Archaeal small subunit ribosomal RNA
Source: RNAcentral